Ailuropoda melanoleuca (giant panda) is the source of this 46-nucleotide non-coding RNA. NCBI's taxonomy places the organism in Eukaryota, Metazoa, Chordata, Mammalia, Carnivora, Ursidae. The record is from Rfam.
CUAACGGCUCUUUUCAGAGCCACCUAUAUUCUCAAAGAGUUGAAAG